Molecule: unclassified non-coding RNA, 330 nt
Filed under: rhizosphere metagenome
Description: partial ribosomal RNA internal transcribed spacer region
Source: RNAcentral
GUAGGUGAACCUGCGGAAGGAUCAUUACUCUUAGCUUAGGUUCUUGUAACUUAUUGCUAUACUCUAAACACCAAACCGUGCUCUUUUUUCCCACCCCACUCUUAUACCAUCCAUUCUAUAACUGAACACAUUGUGCAUAGGAUAGUCUACGACCAUCCGACACACAUCUGUACACCCCACCUCAUUUAGAUGUCAUGUCUUUAUGUGUUGUAGUGUACUUGUUGAACCACAGUACGAUUCAUAGUGCAUGUGCUCUGUUUAAUUACAGCGUACGUCUCUGUGCAUUCAUACACGUGAAUACAACUCCGAACAAUGGAUAUCUCGGCUCUC